CAUGCAGUCGAGCGGUAGAGAGAAGCUUGCUUCUCUUGAGAGCGGCGGACGGGUGAGUAAUGCCUAGGAAUCUGCCUGGUAGUGGGGGAUAACGUUCGGAAACGGACGCUAAUACCGCAUACGUCCUACGGGAGAAAGCAGGGGACCUUCGGGCCUUGCGCUAUCAGAUGAGCCUAGGUCGGAUUAGCUAGUUGGUGGGGUAAUGGCUCACCAAGGCGACGAUCCGUAACUGGUCUGAGAGGAUGAUCAGUCACACUGGAACUGAGACACGGUCCAGACUCCUACGGGAGGCAGCAGUGGGGAAUAUUGGACAAUGGGCGAAAGCCUGAUCCAGCCAUGCCGCGUGUGUGAAGAAGGUCUUCGGAUUGUAAAGCACUUUAAGUUGGGAGGAAGGGUUGUAGAUUAAUACUCUGCAAUUUUGACGUUACCGACAGAAUAAGCACCGGCUAACUCUGUGCCAGCAGCCGCGGUAAUACAGAGGGUGCAAGCGUUAAUCGGAAUUACUGGGCGUAAAGCGCGCGUAGGUGGUUAGUUAAGUUGGAUGUGAAAUCCCCGGGCUCAACCUGGGAACUGCAUUCAAAACUGACUGACUAGAGUAUGGUAGAGGGUGGUGGAAUUUCCUGUGUAGCGGUGAAAUGCGUAGAUAUAGGAAGGAACACCAGUGGCGAAGGCGACCACCUGGACUGAUACUGACACUGAGGUGCGAAAGCGUGGGGAGCAAACAGGAUUAGAUACCCUGGUAGUCCACGCCGUAAACGAUGUCAACUAGCCGUUGGGAGCCUUGAGCUCUUAGUGGCGCAGCUAACGCAUUAAGUUGACCGCCUGGGGAGUACGGCCGCAAGGUUAAAACUCAAGAAAUUUGACGGG
This 867-nucleotide ribosomal RNA is filed under the name bacterium SBF-B5-d0. Its description in RNAcentral is "bacterial SSU rRNA". It matches the Rfam family "Bacterial small subunit ribosomal RNA", at positions 54 to 917 of the family's 1533-position model. The record is from RNAcentral.